UUUUUUUGAGAAAGAGGUAGAGCGCUACCCGCUUCAUUCAUUGAAUAGACGAAUUAGGCUAUAAAUAUGGGGCAACAAGACCCCGGAAGUGGAAAAAAAAAAAAAGGUUACAAAAUAAGGAGAGAAUCCCACUCUUUCGCUAGAAGUUUUAAUCUGUGAACCGUCAGUUCGGGAUUUAGAACUCUAGUUUUUCACACAAUUUACCAGCAACCUAUUAGAUUAGCAAGUCUGGUUCCCUUCUUUAGAAAGUCCCUUCUGCCCAUUCACCUAUCCCAUACUAGGUUCAUGUCGUCUCCCAGGUCAUGAGCGUGUAUAUCGUUCACCCCAGACACUAGGAAGAACUUACAGAAUACUCACCGGGUGAACAGAUGGUCCACUAAUUCCUUGCCUGACCCACAAAGUACACAAAUAGGGUCUUCCAACCAACCCCUCUUAACUAGUUUAUCACGUGUAAGCAUCUUUUUUUUUUAGAACCAACCAGCUGAAUACUCUAACUUUCAAGGGGAUCUUGAGGUUCCAAAUGUUGGUGGCAC
This 533-nucleotide long non-coding RNA is filed under the name Ananas comosus (pineapple). Its description in RNAcentral is "long non-coding RNA (ACOM_LNC000318)". The record is from RNAcentral. Lineage: Eukaryota; Viridiplantae; Streptophyta; Magnoliopsida; Poales; Bromeliaceae.